GAGAGAGAGACAUGCGCGCAUAUCAAUAAGCGGAGGAAAAGAAACUAACAAGGAUUCCCUUAGUAACGGCGAGUGAAGCGGGAAGAGCUCAAAUUUGAAAGUCUUCAAGGUUUUACCUUGACGAAUUGUAGUUUAAAGAAGUGUUUUCUGCUGAAGUUUUGGUAAAAGUUCUUUGGAAUAGGACAUCAUAGAGGGUGAGAAUCCCGUAUUUGACCAUUAUUUUCAGCUUUGUGAUACACUUUCAAAGAGUCGGAUUGUUUGGGAAUGCAGUCCAAAAUGGGUGGUAAAUUUCAUCUAAAGCUAAAUAUUGGCGAGAGACCGAUAGCGAACAAGUACCGUGAGGGAAAGAUGAAAAGAACUUUGAAAAGAGAGUUAAACAGUACGUGAAAUUGUCAAAAGGGAAGCGUUUGACACCAGUGUUGUUUUCUCGAAAAUCAAUUAAAAAUGGCUCGAUUUUGUAUUGCUUGAGACCUUAAAAGCUCACUGUACAUUUUUCGUGUCUUUUUUAAUGCACUUUUCGUUUAACAAGUCAACAUCAGUUUCUUUUGUUGUAAAAGGGUCAUUGGAAGGUGGCUUUCUUUUCGGAGAAAGUGUUUAUAGCCUUUGCCCUCUGCAAUCGGAGAGACUGAGGUCUGCAGCGUAGACUCUUCGGGGUUAGAUACAUUUGUGCUGAAGUUAUAGCUUUUUAUAGACAACUUGUUGACUAUAAUUAGUCUUGUAGCUUACUCGCUUAUGCUAUUUUACCUACGCUUAGGAUGUUGAAGAUGUAGCACAUCAU
Molecule: ribosomal RNA, 778 nt
Filed under: uncultured Neocallimastigales
Lineage: Eukaryota; Fungi; Neocallimastigomycota; Neocallimastigomycetes; Neocallimastigales
Description: partial large subunit ribosomal RNA
Rfam family: Eukaryotic large subunit ribosomal RNA
Source: RNAcentral